Gasterosteus aculeatus aculeatus (three-spined stickleback) is the source of this 784-nucleotide long non-coding RNA. RefSeq lists it as uncharacterized. NCBI's taxonomy places the organism in Eukaryota, Metazoa, Chordata, Actinopteri, Perciformes, Gasterosteidae. The record is from RefSeq and is a predicted model, not a curated record.
AUCACAUCUUAGUCUCGUCUUAGUCUUGGAAAAAAGAUGACACCAAUUAGAGUGACGCAUGGGGCGAAAAGUGGUCGGUGGAAGGACGGACUGACAUGUUCUGGCUGAUUGGUCACUUGUCCUCCAGUGCGUUUGACCCCCAGCAGUCAUUAGUGCCCUACAGCCUGGGCCCCAUCUCUUGCACCCAUCCGAUACAGCACGCCUCCCGUCUGGACAGUCAUCAUUGGUUUUAGAAUGACACAGGAUCAAGGACCUGGACAGAGUCAGUGAAAGUAACAAGCUCAGUUGACAUGAAAACGUGUUUUGAAGGGGGGGUUAUGUUCCUAUGUGAGGGUCCGAGGACAGAUGAUGUUGUGGUCACUGUCUGUUUCUGUUGUGUUUUCUGUCCUUCACCUUGUCUCUUGUUUCAUACACCUCCCUUCCUGUGUGCUGCCCUCCUGUAUGAUGGCAAGCCCCGCCCUCAUUGUUUUCACCUAUGAGUCUGUGUCUACUCCUUACUAGUGACCCCCGUGUGCCUUGCUAUGUUUUGACCCAUUUUUUCCCACCCGUGACUGUUUCGGAUUCCUCUUUCUGCCUUGUCUGAUUACCCGUGUACCAAACCCUGCUUGAAGUAAAGUCAUUGUAUGUAAAUGUGUUUUUGUUCCCGAUCAAUCUAUAAUUCCCACAAAUUGCCCCCCUUUGGAAUAAUGAGAUAAAAGAAUCAAUUUCCAUGGUAGAGUUUGACACAAGCCUGUGAAGAAAGGUACAUACUAUGUCUACCAAUAAAAAGGAUAGCCUAACUGAA